Molecule: non-coding RNA, 4871 nt
Organism: Xyrichtys novacula (pearly razorfish)
Lineage: Eukaryota; Metazoa; Chordata; Actinopteri; Labriformes; Labridae
Source: the annotation of a GenBank genome assembly
UCCCAGCUGCUCCAGGGGCCGCCGGCUGCAGCAGCAGCAGCAGAGCUGGUGCUGCUCCUUCCCACUGUGCAUGUUUGGAAUAUUUCAGAGCACUUUGAAUGUGAAGGACAGCGAGGCCGAGGGGAGAGCCCGGUUCAAUCAACUUUCACCAGAGAGAGAAAAAAAACAAAAAACAAAGAGGAGGAAAAAACACGCCGCCUUCACAAGAAUGUGAACUCAACAGGAGGAGUUUACUCUGAGACGGGGACUGGAGAGGGUCUCUAUCCUGUUUGAUCCCCGGGGAGGGGGGCGGCUCCUGGACAGUAACACUUCAAGUCCCUCAGAGGUUCAGUCAGCUGAUCCAACACCACUAACCUCCAUGUAUGUCUGUGUUGGAGAAAUACUGACGCCGGACAGUAAAGGGGGUCAAACGAGGGAAUUCGUCUAAAUACGAUAAUGAGACGACAUGGACUUUCCUGAUCUAGAUUUGACCUGGUUUAUCCAGAUCUGAUGUGACAGGAUAUAAUCAGGACCUGAUCUAGUCCCUCCUGAUCAAAUGAAAACGUCGUUUAUCUCUAAACUAUUUCAGGAAUUCACAUUAAAAACAAUCGGAUCUCUUAAACAGAACCAAACAGAGACAGACCUCAUUCUUGACCUCAAACUAACCCAGAGGUGUUUGUUCCUUUGGUACUGAACUUCAGAUGAAGAACCUGCUUUUACAGAUGACCCAAGUGUCCCUGAGAAGAUCAGGGAAACUCCUGAGCUCAACAGUCCGAUGAUGAUAUCAGGCUUUUCCUGUUUACUGACGUCUCCACUGGAAACACUCAGGAAGAAGUUCACAGAAGAAGAAAUCAACUGUGGUCCUACUAACAUGGCUAGAUGGAGAUCCACUUUCUCUUCAAAGUCUCAGUAGGACCAGUUUACACAUGGACCCUGAGCAGGACAAACCAAAACCUCCACAGAAGAAGAAGAGACGUCAAAAGAGACAAGGCGGCGCUGUGGAGUUCUCCUGCUGACCCAGACAUUCAUUCAUGUGGAUGAAUCCGUCCUCGCCUGACGCCACCUGGUGGAGUGGAGGACAUAAAUGUGUUCUGGAGUCGGCACACAGGGACCCGUCUCAGCUGAAGCAUGAGCUGAUCGAUCAGCAGAAGGUUACGGUCAUUUCUGAAGCGAUCAGAUCAUCAGAGAGUUUUUUAUGAUGAUAAUUUGGUGUUUGUUUAGUUUCAUGAACACCUGCAGCUCCUGACUCAGAUCUACGUCUACAUGUGGAGACGUCACAUCAGGCUUUUGUCUCCCGUCAUCACGUCAUUCGUAGACGACACAAAAGGCUCUAAAUGAGACUCCUGAGAGUCUGAGAGUCUGUUUUAUCGAACCCAGGAUCAGAUUCACUCGAUAUAAAUGAUGCUCAGCAUAAACACACAGCGGAGGCCUGGACUACGACGCUGGAUUAACACACCAGGGAUAACUCCGCCACAACUCGUUUAACUUUACCAGAUCUGUGUAACACCGAUCAGCUGGACUACGAAGCAGGACAUCAACUCGGUAAAUAAAUCCAGUUGUGGUCAGUCUAGAUCUGUGUGCGCACACGUAAAAGGGGCGGGGUCAGUGCCACCGGACCAAUCUCUACAACAGAGAAGGCUGCGUGUCAGAUGUCACAGCCGAGGAACAGAGCAUUAUUUAAUAUCAUUAUAUAAUAUCGUGAUAUCAAAUUUUUCAUAUCAGCACAUGCCUACUCGACACCCUCACUGUCAACGUCGGUGUUGAAUAAGGGACCGUCAAUAAAUUAACGGUUGAUGUUCUCAGAAAAGGCUGUUUUCCUUCAAUAGCUUCACUGUCAUGUGACCAAAAGACCUAAAAUUGAUUUUUAAUAAUAUUACUAAGGUCGAUCAAUAAGACAAACAUUAUUGAUCAACUUUCAUUGUUCCCCUAAAGAACAUGUGAACAACGUUAGAGUCAAGUCCUGCGCUAGAAGCCAAAGGGACUGCUGCAAUGAAAAAAAUCACUGAUUGUUAAAUUACAUUUGUUUGUUCAUGGAUUCAGGGUCCUCUAAUAUGUUGUCAUACAGCGUGUGUGUGAUCAUGUGAUCACCAUCAUCACUGACCUCAUUAUUUCAGAUACAACAGCAAAUAAAAAUAAAAACAUCCUUUAAAGGGGUUCGUAGGUUUAUUCUUUGAUUUUAUAUAUUUCGACAUGUAAACAGUGAUUUCCUCGCUCUACCUUGACGAGGAGCUUUUUGCGUUUUUCUCCAUCAUCUGAUGGUCACAUGACAUCUGCAGACACAUUUAGGGUGACGAGGAGUUUUCUAAUCUGCUUCAGUAAAUUCUAAAUGACUGAUAUCCCGCAUGAAACAGGGACUUGGAGAUCGGCAAAUAUGAGUGCGCUGUUUAGACUUCAUGCUGCCUGAAUAUUGAGGAAACUCUGUCAUCAGGUAAAUCAAACGGAUUUGAACGACCACGAACAUAACACUCUCUGCGAAGCGCUCCUCUCACUAUCCGUGCACUGAUGUCCACGGGAUCCGGCGAAAGAGAUCUGAUUGGUCAGUGGGCGGUCUUUUAUACCCGCUGGGAUCUUAUCCGGAAACAGAACCUGCUCCGGAGCAGGUGUGGGCAUGGAAAGAAUUCCACCUUCGUCGUACAGAAACCCAGGAGUAACGGUGCGCUCCAGUUUCCUCGGAAGUCAGAUGUCGGAGCUGAAGAUGACGUCACUCUCGGGUUCCCAGCGUUUUAGUUACAAAGUCGGAAAAAAGGAAAAUCGGAGGCAGAUGUAGCCUUCGUAGAUGUAGCCAUCUUGUCCGAUCAUACUCCGACUACGCUGGUUACAUGGUCGAGAAAAUCGAAUUCCAAUCUCAUUAUCUGGGUGUUUUAAUCGGAGUUCUUCAACUCCAAUUAUAGUCGGACUAAAGUGUUUACAUGACCUUCAGUUUACGGGUCUUAAUCGGAAAAAGGCGAUAAUUCGGUUUUUUCUCGAGUGUCAUUAAUACGAUCUCAGACCUUUGACCCUGAAAUGACUCAUUUUUGACGGGACCUCAGGAUCUGGACUUUCCUGUUGUCCCCCUUUAAUACUGGAACCCAAACAGAACCCCGCCAGUCUUGGACCUGAACCUCUUGGACCUGAACCUCUUGGACCGGUCUGUUUGUGUUCUAAAACUGAUGCUGGACUGGGUCAGGUCCACAUUCAGACCUGUCAGGACUAGGACCAGGACCAGGAUCAGGAUCAGCUGUAGUCCAUCAGUUCUUGGUCUCCAUGGUCCCCCUUUCUAAAGAGACUCCAGUCUGAUCCACCUCCAGGACUCUGAGACCAGGAUCCACUUCAGAUACAAAACCACCUGACCCCUAUCACAGACAAAACCCUGAUCCAGUUCAGACCCAGAACCCCCCCUGAUCCAGACGAGCAGACCCCCCAGUCCAUCUCUAACCCGGCCCCUCCCCCUCAGGCCUUAAUCUGAACCUUUAAUAUUAUCAAUCCGUUAAUUUCUGAUCAAUAACAGAGGGGUUCGAUUACAUAAUCCACAUAUUAGACCGAGCCCCAGCCAGCUAACCGCAGAUUAGCCACAUUAGCUUUUUCUGGGUUAGCAUCAGUCCGAUCCGGAUCUAACUGGAUCAGGGAAACCCACAGACAUAAACCACCUAGAUUUUCUCUCAUCUUAGAUCAUUAACUCCUCUCAAAGGUUCACUCUGAGGUGACCCGGGUUAAACUGGACCGGUAUAAUUCGGUUCUGAGGCCUACCUUCCUCCUGCGGUCCCAUCACAGGCUAACAGGCUAACGUCGCUGUUAGCUUCUCAGCUAGCUCGGCCAGAAACGGAAAAAGUGUCCGCGGAUAAAAAUGAGAUUCUUCUGACGAGAACAUCGGUGUUCGGCUGUAAUCCUGCCGAAAAACAUCCACGGGAAUCACAGGGGAACAUUCACGAGAGCAGAAACCCGCGGAGAGAACCGAGUUUUCCGAAACAUUGGUCCAAUGUUUGACUAGCUGCCCGAUACCAAAAUGCUACUGCGUAACUAGCUAGCAGCUAGCUAGGCACAGACAGAAGGCUUACCAACAGAGCGCCGAUUACAACUGAUCGAACCCACCGUGAAAAAAAACACAUCCACCGAGAUUAGCGUCAUUAUUUUCGAUGAUCAGAUUAAAAUACAUGUAAUCUUAGUUUUUAGAGAAACUAUUAGAUUAAUUUAAGGAGGAAGAAACAUUUAAUCACACCUGCAAUAUGUUGACUGCUCCCUCGAGUCUUCUAAAAUCGAUUAUAAAUGCCUUGAAUGAGAGGCUCUCUGUUUCAUUGAGGGAAUAAACUGACAGAUCCAUACAGAUUCAGAUUAGAGACGACAUUAAAUGACGGAUUAGAGACAGUAGAAUGACAGAUUAGAGGGUUUUAUUACAUCUUUAGUUUUUCUAAUCAUCACUUUAUUCAUGUGUCCUUCAAAGUUUAUACUUUAGUGUUUUUAAAUUCAUUUUUAUCAGUGUGAGCAAAUAAAUGUCAUGACUUAGGUAAACAUCCAGGGACAUUAUCACAAGAACAUUUUCAUAAAACAGGAUAAAAAUAAAUUUAAAGGGAUAUUCUGGUGUAAAAUUAAUUUAGAGUCAAACCCACGGUAACACCGAGUUAGACCCCCCCUCCAGAGAUGAAUGUUGUCGACCGCUUCCUUCUCUAGUUAUACCAACUUUAGUAACGACCGCAGGAUAGAAAUACAGAGAGCCACGCCCCCAACCAAAACGCCACUCUAUAGCCACAAAUAAUGCUCAGAACAGCACCUAACUUCAUCAACAGGACAUAUAGGGUCACAGACAUAGUACUAGACACCAAACAUCUUUUUAACUUUGACUCAUUUCUUUAGCAAAGAGACUAAACACAACUCACCUACUCUCUUCCAGCAGACGCUUGUUUGUAGUGAGACCUCAG